CCUACGGGUGGCAGCAGUGGGGAAUAUUGCACAAUGGGGGAAACCCUGAUGCAGCGACGCCGCGUGAGUGAAGAAGUAUUUCGGUACGUAAAGCUCUAUCAGCAGGGAAGAAAAUGACGGUACCUGACUAAGAAGCCCCGGCUAACUACGUGCCAGCAGCCGCGGUAAUACGUAGGGGGCAAGCGUUAUCCGGAUUUACUGGGUGUAAAGGGAGCGUAGACGGCAGCGCAAGUCUGGAGUGAAAUCCCAUGGCUUAACCAUGGAACUGCUUUGGAAACUGUGCAGCUAGAGUGCAGGAGAGGUAAGCGGAAUUCCUAGUGUAGCGGAGAAAUGCGUAGAUAUUAGGAGGAACACCAGUGGCGAAGGAGGCUUACUGGACUGUAACUGACGUUGAGGCUCGAAAGCGUGGGGAGCAAACAGGAUUAGAUACCCGAGUAGUC
Molecule: ribosomal RNA, 440 nt
Filed under: uncultured bacterium
Lineage: Bacteria
Description: partial 16S ribosomal RNA
Rfam family: Bacterial small subunit ribosomal RNA
Source: RNAcentral